Molecule: ribosomal RNA, 2736 nt
Filed under: Triticum aestivum (bread wheat)
Lineage: Eukaryota; Viridiplantae; Streptophyta; Magnoliopsida; Poales; Poaceae
Description: partial small subunit ribosomal RNA
Source: RNAcentral
AUGGACAGGAUAUUGGUGAGUACUUCCACAGGCGCGAUGAACUCCGUCUUGCGUAAGUUGACCAACCUCAUGGGGGAGGAGUUCGCCAAGCUCAAAAACCUCCGGAAAGAGGUCAAGUUCGUCAGCGAUGAACUUAGCGGCAUGAAGGAUGCACUUGAGGGGCUUUCUUAUCUGGAUGAGCUAGAUCCACAAACCAAGAGAUGGAGGGACAUCGUCAGGGAGAUGUCGUACGACAUCGAGGAAAUCAUUGAUGACUUUAUGCAAAACAUUGGAGGCACCGAUAAAAGUGAUGGGUUUGUCAGCAGCACGAUACGACGCCUCAAAACUUUGAGGUCUCGCCAUCGGAUUGCUCAACAAAUCGAGGACGUAAAGAAACUUGUUCUCGAGACAAGUGCACGGCAUCAAAGGUAUAAGAUUGAUACCUCCUCAUCAAGCAAUGUGGCCAUUGACCCACGUGUUGCCACGCUCUAUGAAAACGCAGCUAACCUUGUUGGUGUUGAAGAGCCAACGAAUGAGCUUAUUAACUUGCUAAGAGAUGGGGAGAAGAAGUUGAAAGUGGUAUCUAUUGUUGGAUUUGGAGGUCUAGGCAAAACAACACUUGCUAGUGUGGUACAUGGUAAGCUCAAGGGUGAAUUUAGCAGUUGUACUGCUUUUGUGCUCGUUUCUCAGAAGCCAGACAUCCCAAAACUUCUGCGUGGUUUACUAUCACAACUUGGGGUAGAGCCAUCUAUUCACGCAUGCGAGUCACAUCUUAUCGACAUGCUCAGGGAACAUCUCAAAAAUGAGAGGUACUUGAUUAUAAUUGAUGAUAUAUGGGAUGUAUCAGCCUGGGAUAUUAUCAAAUGUGUUUUUCCAGAAAAUUAUCUUGGGAGCAGAGUAAUAACUACUACUAGAAUUCAGGUUGUGGCUAAGGCAUGUUGUUUCCAUGGUCAUGAUCACAUUUUAGAAAUGAAGCCCCUCAACGACAAAGACUCGAGAAGACUAUUUUUUGGCAGGAUAUUUGGCUCCGAGGAAGCUUGCCCUCACCAUCUUAGAGGUGUUUCAGUUGAAAUUCUUAAAAAAUGUGGUGGUUUGCCUCUUGCAAUUGUUACUAUAUCCAGCAUGCUAGCCAGUGAAGAUUCCAUCCAAAAAGAAAGGUGGGAACAUGUAAGGAGUUGUUUAGGCUCAUUAACAAAUCUCACGCUGGAAGGAGUUAGGCAAAUCUUAAACCUUAGCUACAGAGAUCUUCCCCUUCAUCUUAAGACGUGCUUGUUGUAUCUUGGUAUGUAUCCAGAGGACUACAUAAUAUCAAGGUAUGAUCUAGAACGCCAAUGGAUGGCAGAAGGAUUUGCCGGCAAAGAGAAUGGACAAGAUGGUGUGAAGGUCGCAAGUAAUUAUUUCAAUGAGCUUGUCAAUAGGAGUCUUAUUCAACCUGUAAAAUUUGACAGCAGAGGGUCAGUGACAAAAUGCAGAAUACAUGAUAUGAUGCUCGAUCUAAUCUUGCUCAAGUCCGCAGAAGAGAAUUUUUUCACUAUAGUGGAUGACACACGAGCCAUUACAGGACUGGAUUACAAGAUCCGUCGACUUUCUAUUCACUUGGAUAGUCUAAGUAAUGGUCAAGCAAUAUUACCGAGGAACACUAGUAUGUCACAUGUCCGAUCAGUUAUGUUCUUUGGGAGCUCCGAGAGUACACCUGAUCUAUUAGAGUUCAAGUUCCUCCGAGUUCUGUUUAUUAACCUCCCUCGUGCUACAGUUGAUCUGAGUGGACUGCCUAAAUUGUAUCAGCUGAGGUAUUUACGGAUUAGUCGCAUUUGCUUGUACCAACUACCAGCACAGAUUAGAGCGCUACAACACUUGCAAACACUUGAUCUAGGAAGGUGUUCCAAUAUUCCCUCAGAUAUAGUUCAACUACCACACUUGAUGAAUCUAAAUGUUGGAUCAGAGGUUUUUGAUGGGAUUGGCAAGAUGAAGUCCCUACAACAUCUAUGUGCAUUUGAUUUGGCGGUGAACACCAUAGAUAAUAUCGAAAACAUUGGUGAGCUGACCAAUCUGAGAUAUCUAUUUAUCUCAUGUGGCCCUCAUCCGGAAGAUACGGAGAGACGCGUGGAUGUAUUACGCUCUUCUCUGGGGAAACUUCGGAACCUUGAUAACCUGCUUGUCAGUAUGAGGGGCUGCAUUGAUGGCUUGAUGCCAUUGUCUCCUCCCCCAACUCCUUACCGACUUGAGAGAUUCGUCAUGUUCCGGAACUGCUGGUUUUCCAGGAUCCCUAGUUGGAUAGGGGAACUCCAUAACCUCGGUGAACUACAGUUGCAAGUUUGUGAGCUGCUAAACGAUGGUGUUGGUAUCCUUUCAGAACUGCCCGUCCUCGUUCACCUUGAUAUGGAUAUCCGAAGAGCCGUAGAUAAAAUGAUUGCCAUAUGUGCGGGGAGAGGAACAUUCCCUGCUCUAAAGCGUUUUUCUCUCCAAAUAAGCAGCAUGACAUACCUGGACUUCCAGGCUGGUGUAAUGCCUAAACUCCAGAGACUCGAGGUAAUGCAUAAUAUGAGUGGAUCAGAUCAGAAUGGGGCUGCACCAGCCGGCAUCGAGCACUUGUUAGCGCUUGAAGAAUUAUCUGCAGCAAUCGGCUGUGAAGGUGCUACAGAACCCACGAAGAGAAGUACAGAGUCUGCCUUGAGGAGUGCUAUCAACAUGCAUCCAAGCCAUCCUCGUGUUACAAUCAGAUUCUUCCGUCGCAAUUUGAAAUUUUUACCGGAGUAA